Molecule: ribosomal RNA, 438 nt
Filed under: uncultured bacterium
Lineage: Bacteria
Description: bacterial SSU rRNA
Rfam family: Bacterial small subunit ribosomal RNA
Source: RNAcentral
CCUACGGGAGGCAGCAGUGAGGAAUAUUGGUCAAUGGGCGAGAGCCUGAACCAGCCAAGUCGCGUGAGGGACGACGGCCCUACGGGUUGUAAACCUCUUUUGCCGGGGGACAAACGGCGGCACGCGUGCCGUCCUGAGGGUACCCGGAGAAAAAGCAUCGGCUAACUCCGUGCCAGCAGCCGCGGUAAUACGGAGGAUGCGAGCGUUAUCCGGAUUUAUUGGGUUUAAAGGGUGCGUAGGCGGGAUGCCAAGUCAGCGGUCAAAUACGGGGGCUCAACCUGCGUCCGCCGUUGAAACUGGCGUUCUUGAGUGGGCGAGAAGUACGCGGAAUGCGUGGUGUAGCGGUGAAAUGCAUAGAUAUCACGCAGAACCCCGAUUGCGAAGGCAGCGUACCGGCGCCCGACUGACGCUGAAGCACGAAAGCGUGGGUAUCGAACA